Orcinus orca (killer whale) is the source of this 151-nucleotide long non-coding RNA. RefSeq lists it as uncharacterized. The record is from RefSeq and is a predicted model, not a curated record. NCBI's taxonomy places the organism in Eukaryota, Metazoa, Chordata, Mammalia, Artiodactyla, Delphinidae. The transcript has 3 exons.
GACAACGCUUUAGGGGGAGCGUACGUGUGAGUGCGCGGGUGAGUGUCAGCGUACGGGUUAGGAUUAGGGGAUGGGUGAGGGUCAGGCUUCGGGGAAGAUUUAGGGUUAGGGUUUGGGCUAGGGUUAGGGUUAGGGGACGGGGACGGUUUAG